AGACAGGUGGAGUCUUGGGUUUGGGUGUCAGACCCUGCAGGUUUCCGUCCUCUGCCUGUGUUGGUUUCCUGGGGUCGCGUCACGGACUCCCACACACGGGGUGGCUCCACACAGGGAAUGGACGCUCUCCCCAUGGCGGAGUCCAGCACUCCCAGAUGGAGGUGUCUGCAGGGCCAUGAUCCCCCUGGAGACUCUUCGGGGCCCUUCCUUGUCUCUUUCAGGUUCUGGGGGCUCCAGGCAAACCUGACCGGGGCUGCCCCGAUCCAAUUCCGCUGCCUCUGCGUCUCCUUUCCCUCUGUCUGUGGAAAACCCCUCAGCCUCCCUUUGGAAUGGGCAUGGGUUUGGCACUCAGACACCCCCAGGUGGCCUGGGCAGCUCUCCCACUCUCAAGGCCCUAAUCUUUUCCCUCUAAAGAUCCUUUUUCCUUCUCCACGGAAGGUCUCAUUCACAGGUUCCAGGGACUCAGAUAUCUUUCAAGGAAUCAGUUUUCAGCCUUCCACAUCGCCAUGAACUGUCUUGAAAUAAAACCUCAAAUCCUAUAAUAUUUAUUGUCAAGAAGAGACACCUCUCAAUAACGGUGAAAUCCUGUGAUCAGCGAAAUAAGUAUGUCAUGCAAUUUCAUAUGCAUUUUCUGACUCCCCCAUCGGGGUUCAAAAUGCAAUACCCCAAAUGCAACACCUUGGAGAACGGCCUGCUUUGAGCUGAGGGAGACCCGGAAGUCCACAGAAGCGAGAAGUCCUCUCUGGCCUUCACCCUCCUUCUCCCCACAAAAGGCAUAAUGGAAACUAGGGCUCUUCUCCCUGAAAGCAAAAGCCAUAAAACUGGGAGGGUAGCUCUCUGCCUCCCUGCUUCUCCCAGGAAAGGCCUCGAGUGUCCGUGUCCUGCCCAGCACCCAGGGGACGAUCCCAGCACAGAUCCAAGAAGGAUUCUGCUAAGGGGCCUGGCCGGGCUCCCGGCUCACCAGCUCCAGGACAUGCGUUUCUGUCCACUCUUAGAACUCCCUGGCUCCUGCUUCCUUCCUCAGGCUUAGCAGAAGAAUUCCGUUUCCCGGGGCCUUGGGUCCUCAUGUGUGGUACAAGGCCUUGGCUAAACACGCGUGCCAUGCCCUCCUCUUGUCGGUGUGAGUGUCCACCACGAGCCUUGCAACAGGAGCGAGUUUCAUCCCAGGUUGGGCCCAGUCCCCAGGGCCAGCACCUGUCCGCGGAGGACCUCUAGUCCUCAGUCCUGAUGGCAGCUGCAACUCAAGCUCUCACGUGGCUCCCAUUGAGAAGUUUCAUGAGAUAAUCCAAGCAGAGAGAUGACUACAGUGCCCGCCCAUAGUAGUUACUCAGUGGCUUCUAGGUCCUUCUCACGGAAACCGGACUGACACUCCUGAGGCUGCAGGGCAGGUAAGCCUUGGCCCAGAGGGAGGCAGAGAGCAGCCAUAUGGUGCAGAACAGGCAUGGUGCAGAGGUGGACGCACAUUUUCCAGAUUGGUUCUAAUUUUUCAGGGCAUCCGUUUUGUGCUGUGGCCCCACCCCAGCCAGGUAAAUAGAGACAAGUUCCACCUGCCAUAGGAUCCCCCGCCCCCUCUCCAGACACAUGACACCUGCUGCUUCUCUUCUGCAGCUGACAGCAGGGCUUCUCCUGGUGGGUCCCCAGCCCUCCAUCAGCCCCUGGCUUCGGGCACUCACCCCAGCCCAUCUCAUGUGGCACUGUUGGCGCAAAGAUGUCCCUGCUACGGGAGCCCACUCCUGUAGACCAGCAGAGCCUGACUGAGCUGGACCCGUUGGGCUGGAGGACUUUGCCACGGUUCUGUUGAGUCAACUGACCUGCCUGACGAUACUGCUACUGCUGUCACCCAGUGUGCAACCACAGGCCCCGUGCCCGCGUUUCACAGCUAAGGAAUAGCAGAUCCUGUGCGAGGAGGGAAGGAAGGAAGGAAGGAAGGGAGAAAUGGAGGGAGGCAAGGAGGGAGGAAAGGGGAAAGGGAGAGACAGAGCGCAGGGCUGCUGGGCGGAGAGACCUGGGCCGGGCCAGGCCAGGCUUGGCCGUGUGAGGAGCACCUGUCCUUCAGGAAGGGACCUUGGAGAUCAGGGAGCAGGCUGCUGACAAACGACUUAUUUCUCCUCCCUCUGAACUCCCAAAUUCCCAGAAAUCUGCCUCGGAAGUGGGGAGAGCGGAGAGGCUGUGAGGUUGGACCGAGGGGGGCCACGGUCUCACCAUCCAUCCCACGUGGGCCACCCCUGGACGCUUCGUUCGCAAGCCUGGUACUGUCCUAAGACGUGGUUUGAUUUUUAAGGGCGGAGAGACGGGCUCAGCCGCUGGAAUGACGCUUUCCGCUGCUGGUGGAAUCCAGCCCCUCCGUCUUUGGGGGAUGUGGGGUCUCUGCCUCCUGCAGUGACAGCGCGAGGAUGACCCGGCCCGGCCUCCCGCUCCCCAGCGCGGGCACCUGCGGCCGGAGACGCGGCUCUGCAGCGCCACCUAGCGGCCGCCCUGCGUCUUCCCAAAGCGGAGCCUUAGGACAAAGCUUCCUUUCCAGGAGGUCCCUGCAGGUUUCUGCGGAGCCGGAGUCUGAAUCACUGUCUCCCGAGUGACUCCUAACCCUGGAAACUCGCUGCCGCUCCUUGGGGCUGGUGGUCGUGCCAGUUGCUGCGUCAGAGCAGUUGGGUGCCCACAGGCUGAGGACGCCGGGGCCAGGGUGAGGGUGAGGCUCCACCCCAGGGCUCCAGAGACCCUGAAUUUUGCACUUGACUCUCCUUAAUCUCUCCCAAAGCCUGAUCCUUCUCAUCCCCCUGAGGGCCUGAGGGCCCCUACCUGCAUGAUGGAGGGGUGGGGUGCCACGAUCUUAAAGACCUUCCAGUUCCCAGGGUGACAAGAUUCUAACCACGUUGCACAUGGAACACUUUUCGGUGCAAUGACCCCAAACAACAUCCCGGCCUGUGCAGUUCCCACUCGCAGAGAUCCAAAAGUCGGUGGGUGACGACCCACGUGUGAAAAGGGCGCUAGAGAGCUGCCUGCAGUCUCAUGUCCCCCCACCCCCUGCCCUCCGCGUGCUCAGCACCUGAACGUCUUCACAGAGACAGGGCAGAGUCUGUUUAAAAGGAAGCUCCGACAGUCUCCCUAGGAAGAAACGGCGCCACCUCAGGCACGUGGACGAUUUCUGGGGAUGGAAUUGUCGCAAUGACGAGGAAAUCCCCUGUGGUUUAAUGGGCAGAGUCCCAAGGUGCUUGACAUCCUGACCAGCACAGGGCAGCCACCUCCUGCAGAAGCUGAAAAAACGGCAAGAAAAAUAGACCCAUAACUAGUUUGAGUAGUUGUAAUGUGCACUGAGACAAAAAGUCUUUACACUUUUUUUUUUUUUUCUUUUUGAGAUGGAGUCUCACUCUGUCGCCCAGACUGGAGUGCAGUGGCGUGAUCUCGGCUCACUGCAACCUCUACCUCCCAGGUUCAAGCAAUUCUCCUGCCUCAGCCUCCCUAGUAGCUGGGAUUACAGGUGUGUGCCACCACGCCAGCUAAUUUUUGUAUUUUUAGUAAGAUGGGGUUUCACCAUGUUGGCCAAGCUGGUGUCUAUCUCCUGGCCUCAGAUGAUCUGCCCACCUCGGCCUCCCAAUGUGCUGGGAUUACAGGCAUGAGCCACUGCACCUGGCCCUUUUCACAAUUUUAAUUGCACUAAACUUUCAUAGAAGGCUGACAGCACAUAAACACGAUUAUGUGUCUUUGCAGUGCUCAAGCUUCAAUACUGAGAAUCCAAAAAUAUGAUGAAGUGUAGAGUUUAUUCGAACAUGAAGUUUGAGGAUAGCCACAUAGGAAACAGAGACUCCCAAAAUGGAAAGUUAAAGUCUCAUUUACAUAGUCAGAGGCAGAGGUUUGACAGGUUGCAGCCUUUUCCAACAAGAUCAGGACAUAGGUUAUAGUGAUUGAACUUGAUUGGUCAUAGCUCGCUAUACUUUAAGGAAGAUUGUUUUAACAUUCCAUAAAGAAGGGUAAUGGUCUUGAGGGGAGUCUCACUUCUGGUGCUAUUCAGUCUUUCCUAAUCAUUACAGGACAAGAAUGAGGGAGAGAUUUGACCCGGAAUAAAGAAGUAGAAGGUACAGCUUCAUGCCAUGCGACACAGGCCCCACCGCCACAUUCCUCUCAAGGCUCAAAAUCAGGUACAGUUCUGACAGCUUUCAAUUUGGAUUAUUUAAUUUCACAUCUCCCCCUUUUCAACAUGAUCUUUUGAAGAAGGCUUAGUAGCUGAACGCAGAUGGUUUGGGAUCUCUGUCUGUGUAGGGGCUUAGUCCCACACACCUAGAAGGUUCAUUCCUAGGACGUUGUCUCCCAUGGCUAGGGCCAUGUGCCAAGCUAUGCAGAACUGAUGGGGUAUAGGCCGAACCUGGAGCCACAUGAGGGAAGUGACGUGGUGACCUGGGUCAGGCUGCACAGCUGCAUCCUCCGUUAAUGGGAUUCUGUGAGUGACAAUUAUUUUAGUAUCUUCAGUUGUGGAUUGACUCCAUUGCACACCACACAGUGAAGACAAAACAGGCUAGAACCCAGCCAACGACUGAUUAACAGCUUCUUCCGCCAAGUUCCCCAAGACCCACACCAGUUGCUUAACCAACUGUGUGGAGAGGGUGUUGGAUCUGAAAGUUUGGUUAUUGGGUUUUCAUAUCAGUAUUUAAUUUAAGGUCAUUAUCUGAGUCAUCUGGGUUCGGGACAUGACGUUCAGUCUUUGUGAUGGUUCCCUCUGCAGCUGCAGCGAGUCUGAGGCCAUAGGAGCCUGUAAUGCAGCCUUUCUCAUAAAAGCAUCUUCGCUGUUUAUUAACGCGGCACACGUGACUAUCAUUCGGGGCCUUUUUCAGUUCGGAGGGACACUGUCCUUCCCUUCUGGGACUUACCUCGUCCUCCUAGAGGACCUUUUAUAAUUCUGGUCACUCAAGAAGAGAGUUUAGAUUUGUUUAUUGAGUCGGCCUUCAGAAUCUGGCCAGUUUUGAACAUUACACAUUUUGCUCAAUCCACAAAGCUUCAAUUUCUCUUUUCAAAGAGAAACUGUUUUCUCCCUGACCAAAAUUUCAAAUGGGAGAAAAAGUUCUAGAAACUCUAAUGAGUAAUUCAAAACAGAACCUUAACCUCUGAAAAAAAAAAUCAAAGUCUUGAAUCUGGGGUCAGCAGAAUCCCUGAAGAAUAACAAACAAAACCCCAAACUUGCAGUAGGUCUUCCAACCCUAUCAAGUUAGCAAUUUGUGUGGCUCAAAUAAAAGUCAGAACUUCAACAAGCUGGGAGGUUCGGACCCGAGAAGGUCCUUCCCAGAGGUCCCUGUUGACUUGAGCGAGGCCAGGUGAACCCACACCGUGUGUGCUGACAGCAUGGCUCUGGCUGUUGGUGAUGUAACAGGGAUCACUGGAGGCCCACUUCACAUCCCUUUGUGGUUAGCAAAAUGUCAAUCUUUAAUCAUGAAAUUUGGAAAAGGUGAUUCAGUAUGGAGUUUAUUUGAGUGUGAAACUUGAGGGUCGUCACCUGGGAAACAUAGACUCUAGACGAAUGGGCUCUGCUUUUAAAGUGAGAAGUUAAAGUUUCAUGUUAUAAGUAGAGACAGAAGUAUAACAGGGCUGCGGCCUGUUCCAAGGAGGUCACAAGUUAAAUCUGUUUCACUUGAUUGCUCACAGCUUGCUACAUUCCAAGGAAACUCACUUUAACUUUCCACAAAGAGGGGUCAUCCUCUGGAGGGGUCUCACCUCUGGUGCCAUUCAGUCCUUCCUAAUCAUUUACAGGACAAGAAUGGGGAAGAGAUUUGACCUAGAAUCAAAGAAGUUGCAGCUUCACACCAUGUGACUCAGGCCACACAGCCACGUUCCUCUCAAGGUGCAAAAUGAUCUUAACUUUCAACAGCUUUAGGUCUGAAUUAUUUAAUUUCACAGGGACUUUAUACCAAGGUUUUCCACAUUGCACAAAGAUCACCACACCUUCCAAAACCCUGCUCAGGAUGUCUUAGUCACUCCUUCAAAAUAGGAACUGGAAAUAAAAAGCAUUGAGACUGUUUUGUUGACAAUUGCUUUACUUCGUUUUUAUCUUCAUUAGCAGGCAUUAGGCAACCGUAACCAACCUUCUAGGCAGUUGUCAAUGAUCACUGUCAUAUUAAAGUGCAUGUUAUAUAUUAUAAAUUUCCUUCACUUUAUUUCUCCUUUAUCUUACAGCAUUAUGUUGAUUUUUUUAACUAUAUGGAAAGUGAAGUUACAUGAGCUAUAAAUUCCCCAUUACAUGAUGAAGCCACAUUACAAAAGACUCGCUGUAUUAGAAGAGGGCAGUGGAAAGUCUUGUUUAAAAUUUAGUGCUAAAAUUCUCACUAAAAUGUAAGUCACUGAUAGUGUCCCUUUGCCUCAGAAGAGACAUAGAAAUAAGAGGGGUAAGUUUGGGGGUUGCACAGACAAUGCUUGCUGAAGUUUUCUAUCCUUCCCUGAGCCUCGGGGAUGGAGCUGGGGUCAUACCAGGUGGCUUUCUGGAUAUCAUCACUUCUUCCUCCCAGAAGCCGCAUUGGAUGUGUGCGUACAUAUGUAUGUGUGAUGCAUGUGUGUGGUGUAUGUGGUGUGUGCAUGUAUGAUGUGUAUGUGGUA
This is a non-coding RNA of Macaca mulatta (Rhesus monkey), 6573 nucleotides long. Lineage: Eukaryota; Metazoa; Chordata; Mammalia; Primates; Cercopithecidae. The record is from RefSeq and is a predicted model, not a curated record.